GUGAGUCAUCGAAUCUUUGAACGCAUAUUGCACUCUUUGGUAUUCCGAAGAGUAUGCCUGUUUCAGUAUCAGAAAUUACUCUCGAAAUUUUAUUUCGGAUAUGGGUUUUGUAAAAAUUUUUUUACUGGCCUAAAAUUUAAUCAAAGCAGAUCUUGGGAAUUAACUCGGAUGAUUUUUGUUUGAGGCGUCAUAGUUGGCUUUUUGGUCAUCUUUCGCUGAAGAAAUUGUUUGGGUCUUGAGAACUUGUUUUGUUUUUUUGAUUUUUUUUUUCAACUUGAUCUGAAAUCAGGCAGGAUUACC
RNAcentral lists this unclassified non-coding RNA (300 nucleotides) under uncultured fungus. RNAcentral describes it as "sequence contains 5.8S rRNA gene, ITS2". The stretch from base 1 to 71 matches the Rfam family "5.8S ribosomal RNA", at positions 84 to 154 of the family's 154-position model. The record is from RNAcentral. Lineage: Eukaryota; Fungi.